GCCAGCAUAGCUCAGUGGUAGAGCAACCCACUCGUAAUGGGUAGGUCAGGAGUUCAAAUCUCCUUGCUGGCU
This 72-nucleotide transfer RNA is filed under the name Cyanobacteria bacterium SW_9_44_58. Its description in RNAcentral is "tRNA-Thr". It matches the Rfam family "tRNA". Rfam says of the family: Transfer RNA (tRNA) molecules are approximately 80 nucleotides in length. Their secondary structure includes four short double-helical elements and three loops (D, anti-codon, and T loops). The record is from RNAcentral. Lineage: Bacteria; Bacillati; Cyanobacteriota. RNAcentral also lists the same sequence under 1 other name.